This 6471-nucleotide long non-coding RNA is filed under the name Sus scrofa (pig). RNAcentral's name for it is "lncRNA (ENSSSCG00065031734.1)". Lineage: Eukaryota; Metazoa; Chordata; Mammalia; Artiodactyla; Suidae. The record is from RNAcentral.
GGAGGAUUUACGCUUCUCCAAGCUCAGGCAGAGAUGGUCCCUCAGCAGCCCUGUCAGUGGUGAUGGCUCACCCCCUCCUGGCCUCAUUACCCUCUGCUGGUGUGUUUCAUCCUCCUCUCCUGUGGUUCCCUGGAGUCUCACCAUCUGCUUAGGACGUUUGCCAGCAAGUGCUGUUUGGACAGAAGGUGCACUGGGUUCUCUGGGUCCAGGGAAGUCAGUUUCCCAUCAUCUCCAGAAGUGCCUUUCUAGGGGGUGCCCACUUCUCACAAGGACAGACUGUGUCUGGGAAUGGUGGCCCCAGGGCUGGCCUGGCAGGAACAGGGCAGCUGGGAGGGAUGAUCUGAGGCCAGCGGAGACACCCUCUUGGCAGCAACAGAUAAGACACUCGGAAACAAAGGGGGUCCUCAGGUAACCACAGCUGUGUGGUCCCCACAGCUCUGACGACCAAAGACAAAGCAGGUGGUAUGAAGUGGCAUCUCCAGUUUGAAGUUAAAAUAGUAAUCUUCCCAGUAUGCCCUUUCCUUAAUAAACCCCAAAGUCACUUUUAUGAUGGGAGGGUCUCACUGCCCAGUGACCUGUAGAUCAGUGGUCCUUAGGGUGGACUGUGACAUCCAUGAGGUCAAACCUAUCCCCAUAAUGAUAUUAAGAUUAUUUAAGGAAUUCCCGUUGUGGCUCACCAGGUUAAGAACCCAACGUAGUGUCUGUGAAGGGUUUGAUCCAUGGCCUCAGUCAGUGCCACGAGGUAUGGCAUAGCAGGCAUUGCUGUGGCUCCGCCGGCCUACACCACAGCCACAGCAACACAGGAUCCGAGCCGCAUCUGCGACCUACACCAUAGGUCAUGACAAUGCCAGAUCCUUAACCCACUGAGCAAGGCCAGGGAUCGAACCCACAACCUCGUGGUUCCUAGUCGGCUUCGUUAACCACUGAGCCACGACGGAAACUCCUCUAUCAUCACAUUUUUGAACAUCCCUGGUCCUGGUUCUGUCAUAAGGAUCUGAAGUCACUGUCCUCCUCGAAUUCUGUAGUUAUGAGUAUGUAGGUGGCGAUGGUAGGCGCAGGCAUGGGAGGGCUUGGGUGGGAUUGUGGGAAGAGUAACAUCCAUUUGCUGCAUCGUAGUGACACCAGUUUUCACUUAAAGGCAACACCCGAAGCCCUUUAUCAAAGCUCUGAAUGCUACAUGGACUAUUUGAAGGACCCUAUUUCUUUGAGUUGCAGUAAGUUCCUUCAUAUUUUCUGAAGAUUAAAAACAAUCAUCGUAGCGAGAAUGACUUUUUUAAACUUUAUGCAGAGGAUGUUAUUGUUUAUGACUCAUUAUCAUUUAAGACAUACUAAGCAUCCUCCGAAAGUGAUUUUUAGGCACAAGCUCAGAAGGUUGGUCCAAGGAUCGUGGCGCACAACCACAGAGAACAGUUCAAGGAAGGGGAGGUGAGCAUAAUCAUGGUGACAAGAGGAAGAACGAGAAACACCGGGGAUGGGGGGUUGUUUGUUUUUUGCUUUUGUUUGUUUUGCUGGCUGAAGUUCCCUGGCCGGGGUCAAAACUGCACCACAGCUAUAACCAGAGCCACAGCAGUGACAAUGCCAGAUCCUUAACCCCCUGAGCUGCCAGGGAAUUCCCUGAGAAACGCUACAUUUCCAUCUUGCUCCUACUCCAGUUAAUAGAAUGAAAAUGAUGUCUCCAUUUGAUCCCCAUCCCCCACCCCAUGGUGAUUCAUUAUGGACAGGAUGUCUUUUUACUAGAAAAGCUUAUCUUCUCUAAGAAAGCAGUUCUGGUUUGCUUGGCACACACUGACCGUGAACAUUCAGCCUCUUCCUUAAAGAGUCAAAAGGAGAGUGUGAGGAGGGCGCAAGGAGAUCCAGGGUCAUGAUGGCCACAUUAUUUCUUCCUAGAAUAACAUACUCUUUGCUGGUUGCCAGCCUGCUUAUUUUUAUGUAGAUUUGACCUCGGUUGCAGCCUUGAACAACUAAAAUAGAAUAAAAUAACUAUAAGCUACUUCAAAAAGCUUGACCUUAAGAGUAUAUAAAAAUAUAAGACAAAGGCAGGAAAACAAACCGAGCCACAGCUUCGAGCAAAGAAUAAGUGAGCUUCUUGAGUCUAGUUAAAAUAUCAGCUCUGUGCAUAUUAGAUUCCAUCCUGUGUUUGAUGAUUUCGGCAGUGAGUGCUGCCUUUAUCGAUUGUUAGAGUGGAAUGUUCCAGAGCAUUAUAUUACAAUCUGUCUCCAAAUGGCUUUUCAGAAAGAAAUUUCCUGUAACUCAGAGGCAGAAAUUAUGCAGGGACCUAAAAAGGAAGAGACUAGACAGCUGAAUUUCACCCAGACUUUUGCAAAUGGGAAAGUAAGUGACGGAGUGUGCCCAGAGAGAGCCUGGAUUGGUUUUCUUAGUAAAGGUCAGUUUCAGUUUGUUAUUAUUGCCCCACCAGAAGCUGUGCUAAAUACUGCUACAUAAAGCAAACUGGCGAAGGUUGUGGCUUUGAGGGUCACAGUCCCUUAAAGAUGCCUUGGAGCUCAGGGUCUCUUAGCUCAAGCUUCUUCCUUCAUUUAUCUCUUUUUCAUCCAACUGCCUCCUGCAUGUUCUUGCCUCCACCUCACCUCCUCCAUGCAGCCCCUGUCCUCUUUCCUUGACCGUCUCGCUUCUCUGAAACCACGACAUUUUGCACCACCGCAUGCCAUUUACAUAUUAUUUUCUAACACUUACAUAUGCAUUGAUUUUAUUUUACAUUUAGACUACCACAUUAAGGAUGUGUCUUACACAAUGCGUAUCCUCUAAAGAAUUCUAAUGCAUUGUGCAGAGGCCAAGGGCUCGCUGUGUGUGUGUGUGUGUGUGUGUGUGUAUGAGUGUGCAUGUGCACGCCUACUGCCCUACAUUGUUUUCUUUAGUCAAAGAUGUGGAUUUUCUAAAUUAUUAAUAUUUGGGUUGUGUAUUUAAGAAACUUCAACUCACCUCAGCUUAAACAAAAAGAGUGGUUUAUUGGCUCAACAUGACUGAAAAAUUUAGUUUUGGUUUCAAGUAAGGUUCAACCCAGUGGUUUAAGGAUGUCAAAACAGACCUGAUUCCUUUCUGUCUGCUUUGCCUUCCAUGAACUUGACUUUGCCCUGUGAUUCUUUUCAUCUCAGGACCGCAGCUCGCAGCUCCUGGUGUAUAUAAUAUGUGCAUCCUUAUUCACAUGCAGAGGAGAGGGCAUCUGAGUCCCAGGGUUCCCAACAGAAGUGCUAAGAAUCUGUUGGACUAGCUUAAGCUGCAUGCUCACCCCUGCGUAGAAAGGAGUAUGGAUACACAGAUUAGCCUAGAUUAGCCUCCUGAGAUGAUAUGAAUCCCCACAUGGAAAUUGGGAAGGUCAAGUUAGUGUAUGGGAACUUGGAAGGCUACCAACAAAUGCUAUACAACUUCCGCUGACUUUGUUUAUCAACCUCCCACCGUCUGCUAAUAUCUCAUCUCAUAUAGAAAGGAUCUGUUCUCUGCCUUCCAGGCAUUUUUUUCUAGAGAAAAUAAAAGGAAUCAAUGCAUAACAUUGGCAUCAGCUGGCCGCCAGAGACUUUGAUAAAUUCUCUUGUUACCACAUCACUAACAGGGUUUUCCCGGGACUGUAGUUCCCUCCUAUUCACUCUUCAUCACUGCAGUGGAGGGAGGGAGGGAGAGAAGGAAGGAAGAGAGGGAGAAAAAAAAGGGAGGAAGAAAAGGAAGGAGAUAGGGAGGGAAGCAAUGUACUUUAGCUUAGAGGCUUAAACAAAUCCCCAUGACUCUGGUUCACCCAGGCUUGGGGAGACUUCCUGGGCCAGGUCUGUCAGAACACAGCAUUGAGAAUGUAAACGGAAGAGUCAACGUCAUUUGCUGGGCUUCCUUGCUACUUCUCUGCUAGAGGAACACCAGAUAUUUUUGAGUGAAAGACUGGGUUCCUGGAGGUGACACUCCCCUCAAGUAUGAAGCCUGUUCCUUCUUGGCCCCAUUUAAAACCUCUGCAGGGGGAGGCCACAUGAUUUCAAUUUCUGUGCUUCUAUUUCUGACAAGAUCUGGGGCAUUCUUGUUGUCAGGAAUAAGCUAUCGGUUGAUGACAGGACAAAAAUGUACUUUCAGUGUGUGUGAUUGACCAAGCAAAGCCCCGUUUUCAGAACAUUUGCUCACGGAAGCUCAGAACGAGAGGGAAGGCGAUGGUCAUGACUGCACUGAUUUUGGAAUAAUCAUCUCGCCAUCUGAGAAAGUCAAGCUUGGAUUUGAACUGAGUGUGGGAGGGGGCGGCAGGCGGGGAAGAAGAUAAACCUCUUCAGAAGGAGAGUCUGUGUAGAAGAAAGAAAUGCUUCCACAUCCUCUCGCCAGACACCUGUUCUUUUUUAGUAUAAACUCCAGCCUUGGACACAGUAUGAAGAACCUUCACUUUGCACCACCAUAUCUGAAAAGAUAAUUAACAAAACAUCAAAGAAAGGAAGAAAAGGGGGCGGAAUGAGGAAUUCUUUCUUUGGCAAAAAGAUUUCUGCAGGGAUCAUUUCAAGAACAAACCCCCCUUGGUCUUGGGAGAUAGUUCAACUUCCCAGACUUUUCCAGAACCCAGCUCUUUUGUAAAAGGAGCUGGAGGUAAGAUGCAGUGUUUAGCAGCUUGUUGAAGCUUGAAUAAAAAUGCGGAGUGCUUGCUUCAUCUGCCUCCUUAAAGACGACUUCAGCUUAAAGAGACGUUAAACUCACUUUUCUUUAGUGCCUUAUUAAAGUGAUUGUGUCGAAAGAGAUCCAGAAGAUAGGAACAGUUCUUGCUUUUUGGAAGGAAUCAUAUCAGAUGAAAGAGGCAUAGGCUUUGCUGAAACCCCAAACGAUGUUUAAAGACACAUUGUUCCAUGGUCUCUUAAGACCUGUCUUGACAGGAAGAUGCUGCCUAGGUCUAGUCCUGUCAUUCAGAGGUGAGGGGGUUGCGUUAGCCCAUCCAGAGGGGCCCUUCAGGCCCUGUCAGUCUCAGAGUCUGUGCGCCUGGGUCAGCCAAGUGAGAAUCAAGGACCACACAAUGCAAGCAUUCAACCGGUGGUUUGAUCCCGCCAAGCCUCCUGGGCGCUGACAGUUCCAGUGGCAUGAAGCAGUUCCUACAGUCUCUGCACUGUUUGUGGCAUUCGAGUUGCCUGCUAACUACUUUCUCCUGCGCAAAAUGCCUGUCAAAGACUGCUCGACAAUCGCUAAUUUAGCCAAGUCGUUCGUAUCUGAUAUUUAGACAAGAUAAGCUGAAGGUCUUUGUGGAAGCUCAUUACUAAAAGAUUAUUUCUGAGCAAGCGGGUGCUGUCUGGACGGUGACAGCAUGGUAGAGGCCUGAUAAGUAGCCCUGAUGGGCUUUAAGUUCUUAAAGGAGUGUCCCGAGAUGGAUGUUGGCCUGUAGCAGAAGUUGCACUCUCGCUGCAAGAUAGUUUUCCCAGCUACGAUGCAGCUGGAAAUCCCGUCAACCAGAUCCUUCCAGCACUACCAGGCUCCAUUCUGGGCAUCAGGUGCCAGUGGGCCCACAGAGGACCUUGGGAAAGGCACAGAGGAGACCAGGAAAUCUGAUUAAGAGAUUGGAAAAAUAACGUAAGAAGGAAGCUGAUAUAAAGGCCUUGGAAUUAUUUAGCUCAAGGGAGGAAGAAAGGGGAAAAAAAAGGUUGUUCUAAACUGCAACUCUAUGAUCAGAGAAAUUGGCCAAAAUAGAUGAUCAUUUUAGCCCUAGAAUAUAUGAUUCUGUGAUGCUACUGGCCUUACCCAAAACACCAGUUAUUCAUCCAUGUGAGUGACAGGGACAACCACUCACCGGUCUCUUCAGCCUCAUUUGGAAGAGGCAGGAGUGAGACCAAAGCUCCUUACUCUUAGCCAUGGGUCUCAAGGGAGAGAAAACUUUAUGCCACCAUCCAAGCUGGGAUCGUCACAGUUUCCAGAUGCUCAGGAAUCAAUGUCCUCACGCCUGUCACCUUCUGGCCAUCUCUGGGAAUAUAUGAUGGUGGAAAGAGAAUCAAUAUGAGAUCUUUAAGUUUAAUUUCUGUUUAAUUAAUUCAACAAAUAGUGAGCACCUCCUUCUGCUGGGCAGUGUUCUAGGUACUGGGGAAAUAGGAAUAAAGGAAAGACCCAACUCCAUCUUCUCCAUGUGUACGUUUCAUAAGAAGACUGACACUGACAGAUGAAUGAUACAGAGUGUGGGCGCUAAUGUAAAAUGUUUUGAAGGAAUGAGGGCCUUGAACAGCAGAACCUGGGUCAUCAGAAAGAGAAAAGCAGGAGUUCCCGUCGUGGCGCAGUGGUUAACGAAUCCGACUAGGAACCAUGAGGUUGCAGGUUCGAUCCCUGCCCUUGCUCAGUGGGUCAAGGUUUCGGCGUUGCCGUGAGCUGUGGUGUAGGUCGCAGACGCGGCUCGGAUCCUGCAUUGCUGUGGCUCUGGCGUAGGCUGGCAGCUACAGUUCUGAUUCGACCCCUAGCCCCGGAACCUCCAUAUGCCGCAAGAGCGGCCCAAGAAAUGGCAAAAAGACAAAAAAAAAAAAAAAAAAA